ACUAACUAGAAGUAUUUUAUAUAAAAUAUCACGAAGACGUUUGAGCUAUAUAUAUAUGUCUUUAGGAUACUAUAUUACGUAGUAAAGUAAUUGUUAAAUAUUUUUAUAGGGGUGAUAGGCCUGUCAAAUUCGUGGAUAACUUGAUACCGGCGAAAAAUAUUAAGUAUUAAGCUAUACCUUAAAAGUUAAGCUUUAAGGUAAGAAUCAAUAAAGGAUUAUAUAAAUAUUACAGUUUAACAGCUAAUUAAUAUUACUCUAAAUAUUAUUUUCUGGCAAUUAUUUUUAAUAUGCGGUUAUAAAUAUUUAAAUAUAUUAUUAAUAAUGUUAGUAUAAGUAGUAUUUUAAAAUAACUGAAAUGAACUCGGCAAACAAUUUUUCAACUGUUUAUCAAAAACAUAACUAUAUGGUGUUAUAUAUAGCUAUUCCUGCUCAAUGAUUUUAAAUAGCCGCAGUACCCUGACUGUGCAAAGGUAGCAUAAUCAGUUGGCUUUUAAUUGGAGUCUGGCAUGAACGGAUUUCUGGAAAAUAACUGUAUCUUAUUUAUUUACUUGAAAUUAAUUUGUAAGUGAAAAUACUUACAUCUUUAGAAAGGACGAGAAGACCCUAGAAAUUUGCAUAUUUUGUUGGGGCGACAGAAUUACAAUUAACUAAUUUGAAUAAACGUGGCGUUAAUACAGUUCGAUUAAAUUACUCUAGGGAUAACAGCAUAAUUUAAAUAGUUUGUGACCUCGAUGUUGGACUAGGAUAUUAAUGGUUUAGAAGACUUUUAAUAACGCUCUGUUCGAGCAAAAUUUCCUACGUGAUCUGAGUUCAGACCGG
This 819-nucleotide ribosomal RNA is filed under the name Theba pisana. RNAcentral describes it as "partial 16S ribosomal RNA". Lineage: Eukaryota; Metazoa; Mollusca; Gastropoda; Stylommatophora; Helicidae. The record is from RNAcentral.